RNAcentral lists this ribosomal RNA (439 nucleotides) under uncultured bacterium. Its description in RNAcentral is "partial 16S ribosomal RNA". It matches the Rfam family "Bacterial small subunit ribosomal RNA", at positions 338 to 795 of the family's 1533-position model. The record is from RNAcentral.
CCUACGGGUGGCUGCGGUGAGGAAUAUUGGGCAAUGGGGGCAACCCUGACCCAGCCAUGCCGCGUGAGUGAAGAAGGUCUUCGGAUUGUAAAGCUCUUUCGGACGUGACGAUGAUGACGGUAGCGUCUAAACAAGCACCGGCAAACUUCGUGCCAGCAGCCGCGGUCAUACGAAGGGUGCGCGCGUUGUUCGGAUUUAUUGGGUUUAAGGGGUGCGUAGGCGGAUUUUUAAGUCAGCGGUAAAAUGUCCGGGCUCAACCCGGGCCGGCCGUUGAAACUGGGGAUCUUGAGUGGGCGAGAAGUAUGCGGAAUGCGUGGUGUAGCGGUGAAAUGCAUAGAUAUCACGCAGAACUCCGAUUGCGAAGGCAGCAUACCGGCGCCCGACUGACGCUGAGGCACGAAAGCGUGGGGAUCGAACAGGAUUAGAUACCCCUGUAGUC